This 460-nucleotide ribosomal RNA is filed under the name uncultured bacterium. RNAcentral's name for it is "partial 16S ribosomal RNA". It matches the Rfam family "Bacterial small subunit ribosomal RNA", at positions 338 to 795 of the family's 1533-position model. The record is from RNAcentral.
CCUACGUGAGGCAGCAGUGAGGAAUAUUGGUCAAUGGGCGCGAGCCUGAACCAGCCAAGUAGCGUGAAGGAUGACUGCCCUACGGGUUGUAAACUUCUUUUAUAAAGGAAUAAAGUGAGGCACGUGUGCCUUUUUGUAUGUACUUUAUGAAUAAGGAUCGGCUAACUCCGUGCCAGCAGCCGCGGUAAUACGGAGGAUCCGAGCGUUAUCCGGAUUUAUUGGGUUUAAAGGGAGCGUAGAUGGGUUGUUAAGUCAGUUGUGAAAGUUUGCGGCUCAACCGUAAAAUUGCAAUUGAUACUGGCAGUCUUGAGUACAGUUGAGGUAGGCGGAAUUCGUGGUGUAGCGGUGAAAUGCUUAGAGAUCACGAAGAACUCCGAUUGCGAAGGCAGCUUACUAAACUGCCACUGACAUUGAUGCUCGAAAGUGUGGGUAUCAAACAGGAUUAGAUACCCCAGCAGUC